Molecule: ribosomal RNA, 294 nt
Filed under: uncultured bacterium
Lineage: Bacteria
Description: partial 16S ribosomal RNA
Rfam family: Bacterial small subunit ribosomal RNA
Source: RNAcentral
GGAUUAGAUACCCUGGUAGUCCACGCCGUAAACGAUGUCAACUAGCCGUCGGACCUAUUUACAGGUUUGGUGGCGCAGCUAACGCGAUAAGUUGACCGCCUGGGGAGUACGGCCGCAAGGUUAAAACUCAAAGGAAUUGACGGGGGCCCGCACAAGCGGUGGAGCAUGUGGUUUAAUUCGAUGCAACGCGAAGAACCUUACCAGCUCUUGACAUCCAGAGAACUUUCUAGAGAUAGAUUGGUGCCUUCGGGAACUCUGAGACAGGUGCUGCAUGGCUGUCGUCAGCUCGUGCCG